GACGAACGCUGGCGGCGUGCUUAACACAUGCAAGUCGAACGGAAAGGCCCUGCUUGUGUGUGGUUCUCGAGUGGCGAACGGGUGAGUAACACGUGAGUAACCUUCCCUUUACUUUGGGAUAACUUCAGGAAACUGGGGCUAAUACCUGAUAGGUGCGCCUGCUGCAUGGGGGGGGUUGGAAAUUUUCGGCGGUUGGGGAUGGACGCGCGGUUUAUUAGCUUGUUGGGGGGGUAGUGGCUUACCAGGACUUUGGCGGGUAGCCGGCCUGAGAGGGUGAACGGCGACAUGGGGACUACGAUACGGCCCAGACGCCAACGGGGGGCAGCAGUGGGGAAUAUGGCCCAAUGGGGGGAAGCCUGAUGAAGAAAGGCCGCGUGCGGGAUGAAGGCCUUGGGGUGGUAAACCGCUUUAGCCUGUGACGAAGCGGGAGUGACGGUAACGGGUAAAGAAGCACCGGCUAACUACGUG
This 468-nucleotide ribosomal RNA is filed under the name uncultured bacterium. RNAcentral describes it as "partial 16S ribosomal RNA". It matches the Rfam family "Bacterial small subunit ribosomal RNA", at positions 28 to 507 of the family's 1533-position model. The record is from RNAcentral.